GGUGUUCAUCUCUUAGGAGCCUCCUCAUCUAUUGUAUCUGAAGGUCAACAUUGAUGGGAGUGUUACAGGCAAACAUGGUGGGGCAAGCUUUGUGAUUUAUAGGCUUAACUCCAUUUUAAUUGCGGUGGGGAGAGUUAGUUACAUGAGCCUAUAAUUUUUGGGGUAGAGCUCCACACGGCUUGGGUGGAGAUCAUGUUCGCUAGAAAGACUCUUAGAGCUGGUCAGCUCGUUGUCGAGAACAACUCUACUGUGGUGGUGUCUUGGUUGUAGAAUUAUAUCUAUGAUGGAGCCACUCACCCUUUUUACACGACGUUUCGAUUUUGAUGGGAGAAUGUAC
Molecule: long non-coding RNA, 337 nt
Filed under: Elaeis guineensis (African oil palm)
Lineage: Eukaryota; Viridiplantae; Streptophyta; Magnoliopsida; Arecales; Arecaceae
Description: long non-coding RNA (EGUI_LNC075021)
Source: RNAcentral